This 403-nucleotide ribosomal RNA is filed under the name bacterium. Its description in RNAcentral is "partial 16S ribosomal RNA". It matches the Rfam family "Bacterial small subunit ribosomal RNA", at positions 355 to 776 of the family's 1533-position model. The record is from RNAcentral.
UGGGGAAUAUUGCACAAUGGGGGAAAACCUGAUGCAGCGACGCUGCGUGAACGAAGAAGGUAUUCGUAUCGUAAAGUUCUGUCCUAUGGGAAGAUAAUGACAGUACCAUAGAAGAAAGCUCCGGCUAAAUACGUGCCAGCAGCCGCGGUAAUACGAAUGGAGCGAGCGUUGUCCGGGAUUAUUGGGCGUAAAGGGUACGCAGGCGGUUUAAUAAGUCGAAUGUUAAAGAUCGGGGCUCAACCCCGCAAAGCAUUGGAAACUGAUAAACUUGAGUAGUGGAGAGGAAAGUGGAAUUCCUAGUGUAGUGGUGAAAUAGGUAAAUAUUAGGAGGAAUACCAGUAGCGAAGGCGACUUUCUGGACACAAACUGACGCUGAGGUACGAAAGCGGGGGGAGCAAACAGG